Molecule: long non-coding RNA, 375 nt
Filed under: Carassius auratus (goldfish)
Lineage: Eukaryota; Metazoa; Chordata; Actinopteri; Cypriniformes; Cyprinidae
Description: lncRNA (ENSCARG00000030122.1)
Source: RNAcentral
UUCCACCAGAACCAGGACUUCCUGUACCUGACAGCACAGAGGAGCUGGGUGAAAUGCUAAAAAGCUUGAAAGGCUGCUCAGCAGCUCUGCCCCCAUCAUUACUACCUGGGCAUGGAUGUUCAUGACACCCCUGAGCUGUCCCGUUCACAACCACUGCAACCUGGCAUGGUGAUCACAACCAGGAGAGCCAGUUGAAGACCACUUUUAUUCAAAAACAGUUAAUGUUGCAUGAUUAUACAUCAGCGAGGACGACAGUUCAUGUCCAGAGCGAAUCCAGGGUCAUGGGGUUCGGAUUGAGGAUGAUGUGCUGAUCCGAGAACACAGGGGACCCCUCAUCCUGUCUGCAAACACCCCCAAAACCAUCGCAGGUGGAAA